GACGAACGCUGGCGGCGUGCUUAACACAUGCAAGUCGAACGGAAAGGCUCCAGCUUGCUGGAGUACUCGAGUGGCGAACGGGUGAGUAACACGUGGGUAAUCUGCCCUUCACUCUGGGAUAAGCCUGGGAAACUGGGUCUAAUACUGGAUAUGACCUUUCUCCUUAUGGUGUUGGGUGGAAAGUUUUUCGGUGUAGGGUGAGCCGCGGGCCUAUCCGCUUGUUGGGGGGGUGAGGGCCUACCAAGGCGACGACGGGUAGCCGGCCUGGGGGGGGAAUCGGCCACAUGGGGCCUGGGAUCCGGCCCGGACCCUUACGGGAGGAAAAAGUGGGGAAUAUUGAAAAAGGGGCGGAAGCCUAAUGCAGCGCCGCCGGGGGGGGAAUAACGGCUUUCGGGUUGUAAACCUCUUUCAGCAGGAACGAAGCGUAAGUGACGGUACCUGUAGAAGAGGACCCGGCUACUUAUGU
This 466-nucleotide ribosomal RNA is filed under the name uncultured bacterium. Its description in RNAcentral is "partial 16S ribosomal RNA". It matches the Rfam family "Bacterial small subunit ribosomal RNA", at positions 28 to 506 of the family's 1533-position model. The record is from RNAcentral.